UUAAGUAACUAAGCGUACAAGGUGGAUGCCUUGGCAAUCAGAGGCGAAGAAGGACGUGCUAAUCUGCGAAAAGCUUGGAUGAGUCGAUAAGAGGCGUUUAAUCCAAGAUAUCCGAAUGGGGAAACCCAGUAGAUGAAGAAUCUACUAUCAACAAGUGAAUUCAUAGCUUGUUGAGGCAAACCGGGAGAACUGAAACAUCUAAGUACCCCGAGGAAAAGAAAUCAACCGAGAUUUCGUCAGUAGCGGCGAGCGAAAGCGAAAGAGCCAGUAAGUGAUAGCAGUAUAGUGAGGAGAAUGUGUUGGGAAGCACAAUCAAAGAGGGUGAUAAUCCCGUAUCUAAAAACCAUAUUGUGGUACUAAGCUAACGAGAAGUAGGGCGGGACACGUGAUAUCCUGUUUGAAGAAGGGGGGACCAUCCUCCAAGGCUAAAUACUCCUGAUUGACCGAUAGUGAACCAGUACUGUGAAGGAAAGGCGAAAAGAACCCCGGUGAGGGGAGUGAAAUAGAACCUGAAACCUUGUACGUACAAGCAGUGGGAGCCCCAUCACUUAAUCCGAUUGGAAGGUGAUGAAAAGCAACCGCACUUAAACAAUGGUAAGAGGAGCGAAGCGAGUCAAACCACCCAAAAGAAGCAGUGGGAUUAAGUGAUGGGGUGACUGCGUACCUUUUGUAUAAUGGGUCAGCGACUUAUAUUUUGUAGCGAGGUUAACUGAAUAGGGGAGCCGAAGGGAAACCGAGUCUUAACUGGGCGAGUAGUUGCAAGGUAUAGACCCGAAACCCGGUGAUCUAGCCAUGGGCAGGUUGAAGGUUGGGUAACACUAACUGGAGGACCGAACCGACUAAUGUUGAAAAAUUAGCGGAUGACUUGUGGCUGGGGGUGAAAGGCCAAUCAAACCGGGAGAUAGCUGGUUCUCCCCGAAAUCUAUUUAGGUAGAGCCUUGAGGUGACACCUUUGGGGGUAGAGCACUGUUUCGGCUAGGGGGCCAUCCCGGCUUACCAACCCGAUGCAAACUACGAAUACCAAAGAGUGAUACUCAGGAGACACACGGCGGGUGCUAACGUCCGUCGUGGAGAGGGAAACAACCCAGACCGCCAGCUAAGGUCCCCAAGUCUAUAUUAAGUGGGAAACGAAGUGGGAAGGCUUAGACAGCUAGGAUGUUGGCUUAGAAGCAGCCAUCAUUUAAAGAAAGCGUAAUAGCUCACUAGUCGAGUCGGCCUGCGCGGAAGAUGUAACGGGGCUGAAAUAUAGCACCGAAGCUGCGGCAUCAGAAUUUAUUCUGUUGGGUAGGGGAGCGUUGUGUAAGCGGAAGAAGGUUCAUCGAGAGGUGGGCUGGACGUAUCACAAGUGCGAAUGCUGACAUAAGUAACGAUAAAACGGGUGAAAAACCCGUUCGCCGGAAGACCAAGGGUUCCUGUCCAACGUUAAUCGGGGCAGGGUGAGUCGGCUCCUAAGGCGAGGCUGAAAAGCGUAGUCGAUGGGAAACAGGUUAAUAUUCCUGUACUUGGUAAAGCUGCGAUGUGGGGACGGAGUAGGUUAGGUUAUCGCACUGUUGGAUAUGUGCGUUUAAGUUGGUAGGUGGGAAGUUUAGGCAAAUCCGGGCUUCCUUAACACAGAGAGAUGAUGACGAGGCUCUACGGAGCUGAAGUAACUGAUACCACACUUCCAGGAAAAGCCACUAAGCGAAAGGCUUUACUAAACCGUACUGAAAACCGACACAGGUGGUCAGGUAGAGAAUACUCAGGCGCUUGAGAGAACUCGGGUGAAGGAACUAGGCAAAAUAGCACCGUAACUUCGGGAGAAGGUGCGCCGGCGUAGAUUGUAAGGGCUAGCCCCUGAAGGUUGAACCGGUCGAAGAUACCAGCUGGCUGCAACUGUUUAUUAAAAACACAGCACUCUGCAAACACGAAAGUGGACGUAUAGGGUGUGAUGCCUGCCCGGUGCUGGAAGGUUAAUUGAUGGUGUAAUCGCAAGAGAAGCACCUGAUCGAAGCCCCAGUAAACGGCGGCCGUAACUAUAACGGUCCUAAGGUAGCGAAAUUCCUUGUCGGGUAAGUUCCGACCUGCACGAAUGGCAUAAUGAUGGCCAGGCUGUCUCCACCCGAGACUCAGUGAAAUUGAAAUCGCCGUGAAGAUGCGGUGUACCCGCGGCUAGACGGAAAGACCCCGUGAACCUUUACUAUAGCUUGACACUGAACAUUGAAUUUUGAUGUGUAGGAUAGGUGGGAGACUUAGAAGUAGUCACGCCAGUGAUUAUGGAGUCGACCUUGAAAUACCACCCUUUAACGUUUGAUGUUCUAACGAAGAUGACGAAACGUGGUCUCGGACAGUGUCUGGUGGGUAGUUUGACUGGGGCGGUCUCCUCCCAAAGCGUAACGGAGGAGCACGAAGGUUUGCUAAUCACGGUCGGACAUCGUGAGGUUAGUGCAAUGGUAUAAGCAAGCUUAACUGCGAGACAGACAAGUCGAGCAGGUACGAAAGUAGGUCAUAGUGAUCCGGUGGUUCUGAAUGGAAGGGCCAUCGCUCAACGGAUAAAAGGUACUCCGGGGAUAACAGGCUGAUACCGCCCAAGAGUUCAUAUCGACGGCGGUGUUUGGCACCUCGAUGUCGGCUCAUCACAUCCUGGGGCUGAAGUAGGUCCCAAGGGUAUGGCUGUUCGCCAUUUAAAGUGGUACGCGAGCUGGGUUUAGAACGUCGUGAGACAGUUCGGUCCCUAUCUGCCGUGGGCGUAGGAGAAUUGGUUGGGGCUGCUCCUAGUACGAGAGGACCGGAGUGGACGCACCACUGGUGUUCCGGUUGUGUCGCCAGACGCAUUGCCGGGUAGCUAAGUGCGGAAGAGAUAAGUGCUGAAAGCAUCUAAGCACGAAACUUGCCAAGAGAUGAGUUCUCCCAAUCAAAGAGAUUGUAAGGGUUGUUGUAGACUACGACGUAGAUAGGUCUGGUGUGUAAGUGUAGUGAUACAUUGAGCUAACAGAUACUAAUUGCCCGAGAGGCUUAACU
RNAcentral lists this ribosomal RNA (2997 nucleotides) under Haemophilus influenzae. RNAcentral's name for it is "23S ribosomal RNA". It matches the Rfam family "Bacterial large subunit ribosomal RNA". Lineage: Bacteria; Pseudomonadati; Pseudomonadota; Gammaproteobacteria; Pasteurellales; Pasteurellaceae. The record is from RNAcentral.